CUCUCGGCAACGGAUAUCUAGGCUCUCGCAUCGAUGAAGAACGUAGCGAAAUGCGAUACUUGGUGUGAAUUGCAGAAUCCCGCGAAUCAUCGAGUUUUUGGACGCAAGUUGCGCCCGAAGCCUUCCGGCCGAGGGCACGUCUGCCUGGGUGUCACGCAUCGUUGC
This 165-nucleotide ribosomal RNA is filed under the name Quercus suber. RNAcentral describes it as "5.8S ribosomal RNA". It matches the Rfam family "5.8S ribosomal RNA". Rfam says of the family: 5.8S ribosomal RNA (5.8S rRNA) is a component of the large subunit of the eukaryotic ribosome. It is transcribed by RNA polymerase I as part of the 45S precursor that also contains 18S and 28S rRNA. The record is from RNAcentral. Lineage: Eukaryota; Viridiplantae; Streptophyta; Magnoliopsida; Fagales; Fagaceae.